AUCCUUGCACUGGAGCAAUAUCAUAGACUAUGUAGCUCUACUGAGACAUGAUCAUUGCUGGUGGGAAACUGAACCAAAUACUCUGCCUGGACGACUCGGUCUAUCUGUCUGCAAAGACUGAUAAAUUGUCUCGAGU
Molecule: small nuclear RNA, 136 nt
Filed under: Labrus bergylta (ballan wrasse)
Lineage: Eukaryota; Metazoa; Chordata; Actinopteri; Labriformes; Labridae
Description: U4 spliceosomal RNA (ENSLBEG00000001523.1)
Rfam family: U4 spliceosomal RNA
About the family: U4 small nuclear RNA (U4 snRNA) is a component of the major U2-dependent spliceosome. The structure of U4 snRNA from yeast and human has been reported. U4 snRNA presents a k-turn RNA motif in the 5p-SL related to recognition of Snu13 protein.
Source: Rfam by way of RNAcentral